This 27-nucleotide transfer RNA is filed under the name Acilepis pseudosutepensis. RNAcentral describes it as "partial tRNA-Phe". RNAcentral also lists the same sequence under 1 other name. Lineage: Eukaryota; Viridiplantae; Streptophyta; Magnoliopsida; Asterales; Asteraceae. The record is from RNAcentral.
AGCUCAGUUGUAGAGCAGAGACUGAAA